UACGUAGGGUGCGAGCGUUAAUCGGAAUUACUGGGCGUAAAGCGUGCGCAGGCGGAUUGUUAAGCAAGACGUGAAAUCCCCGGGCUCAACCUGGGAAUUGCGUUUUGAACUGGCAGUCUAGAGUGCGUCAGAGGGGGGUGGAAUUCCACGUGUAGCAGUGAAAUGCGUAGAGAUGUGGAGGAACACCGAUGGCGAAGGCAGCCCCCUGGGAUGACACUGACGCUCAUGUACGAAAGCGUGGGUAGCAAACAGGAUUAGAUACCCUGGUAGUCCACGCCCUAAACGAUGUCAACUGGUUGUUGGGGGAGUGAAAUCCCUUAGUAACGAAGCUAACGCGUGAAGUUGACCGCCUGGGGAGUACGGUCGCAAGAUUAAA
This 376-nucleotide ribosomal RNA is filed under the name uncultured bacterium. RNAcentral's name for it is "bacterial SSU rRNA". It matches the Rfam family "Bacterial small subunit ribosomal RNA", at positions 524 to 898 of the family's 1533-position model. The record is from RNAcentral.